This 808-nucleotide ribosomal RNA is filed under the name Mycobacterium sp. RNAcentral's name for it is "bacterial SSU rRNA". It matches the Rfam family "Bacterial small subunit ribosomal RNA", at positions 48 to 852 of the family's 1533-position model. The record is from RNAcentral. Lineage: Bacteria; Bacillati; Actinomycetota; Actinomycetes; Mycobacteriales; Mycobacteriaceae.
CUUACCAUGCAAGUCGAACGGAAAGGCCCUGCUUGCAGGGUGCUCGAGUGGCGAACGGGUGAGUAACACGUGGGUGAUCUGCCCUGCACUUCGGGAUAAGCUUGGGAAACUGGGUCUAAUACCGGAUAGGACUACGGCCUGCAUGGGUUGUGGUGGAAAGCUUUUGCGGUGUGGGAUGGGCCCGCGGCCUAUCAGCUUGUUGGUGGGGUGAUGGCCUACCAAGGCGACGACGGGUAGCCGGCCUGAGAGGGUGUCCGGCCACACUGGGACUGAGAUACGGCCCAGACUCCUACGGGAGGCAGCAGUGGGGAAUAUUGCACAAUGGGCGCAAGCCUGAUGCAGCGACGCCGCGUGGGGGAUGACGGCCUUCGGGUUGUAAACCUCUUUCACCAUCGGCGAAGCCGGAUGCUUUUGUGUCUGGUGACGGUAGGUGGAGAAGAAGCACCGGCCAACUACGUGCCAGCAGCCGCGGUAAUACGUAGGGUGCGAGCGUUGUCCGGAAUUACUGGGCGUAAAGAGCUCGUAGGUGGUUUGUCGCGUUGUCCGUGAAAUUCCCUGGCUUAACUGGGGGCGUGCGGGCGAUACGGGCAGACUGGAGUACUGCAGGGGAGACUGGAAUUCCUGGUGUAGCGGUGGAAUGCGCAGAUAUCAGGAGGAACACCGGUGGCGAAAGCGGGUCUCUGGGCAGUAACUGACGCUGAGGAGCGAAAGCGUGGGGAGCGAACAGGAUUAGAUACCCUGGUAGUCCACGCCGUAACGGUGGGUACUAAGGUGGUGGGGUUUCCUUCCUUGGGAUCCGUGCCGUAGC